Long non-coding RNA from Argiope bruennichi, 1810 nucleotides. RefSeq lists it as uncharacterized. The record is from RefSeq and is a predicted model, not a curated record. The transcript has 4 exons. Lineage: Eukaryota; Metazoa; Arthropoda; Arachnida; Araneae; Araneidae.
ACGUUUUGUAUUUAUGAGUCAAUUUGCUUGAGGGAAUGUUUCGUUUUCUAUGAAGUAGGCUAUACAUAGUAUUAUGUUAUAAAUUUGAAUUUUUAUCAUGACUGUUGUCGCCGAAACUAUCUUCCUAAUUCUUAUUGAACUGAAUAAAUAGCUUCAUACUGCUGCCCUAUUUCCAUUUAAAAUGGACACCUGCCAAUUGCUAUUCUACUUCAGAAACCCGGCCGGGUUAUUUCCAAUAUAGCCUCUUAUGAGAACUGGAAACGCCAUGUUCCCUGCAAUAUACCUUUGCCAGAGGAAGUUGCUUGAAUUCCUACACAGGAUCCUGGUAAACUCCAUUCAUCGAGCAUGGAAAAAAUCUAGAUGCUAAUCUAGGUUUGUUUUAAUCUUGAUGAAGUCAUGCAUUUUGCCAAUUCUUCAACGCUCUGAAUUCUACAAAUUGAUAACUGGAUGGUAAAAACUGACGUAUUUAGUAUGCUUGGAUGACUUUGGAGAUCUUGGUUUGGAAGAAGCUGUAGGACUAAAAACUUGUGUUGGAUCUUUCAAGCCCUCAGAUAUAUUGUAUUCUAAUAUGUUGCCUACCGAUGCUGUAGAACUCAUUUCGACAUUGUUAUCAGAUUCCCGAGUUUGUUUAACCUUUUUUUUUCUUGAAGGGUUUACAGAUGUACAUGGAAUGCAGUGUUAGCAGAAGGAAGCAAUUUUGUUUAAAUUGAGUAACUGAGUUUUUGUGAGUUUGUUUAAACUUUUUAGUAUUCAAUGUUGGUUUCACAGUGAAGACAACAUUGCAACUCUGUUGGGAAUUUAAGAAGUGAUGCGACGUAAAAUUUUGAAGUCUUUUCAGAAUUUGUGGCAGUUUCUGUUCUAACAGGGGAGCCUUUCCUAACUUUUCCGUAUGUGUAACAAGUUUUAAAGCAGUUAAAUCAGGUGAAGCAGAAAUGCCUUCACAAACUGGUGCAGCAGAGCGAGGAGGAGACUUUGGCAAAUCAUUUGAACUAGAUGCUAUUGGAGCAGUCCCACGGUUUCAAGUUAAUGCCAAAAGUUAGAUCCAUUAGAUCCUAUUGAGUACAUAUGGUAGAUGAUUUUUGAACAGCAGAAGCAUAACUGUUUCCAGGGUAGGAGUUAUAGAUUUUAUCAGCUUUCGGGCUACCUGAUAAGACAUUUGAUAUUUUUAUUUUAGUUGAAAGGAUUUCUUUUCCCUAUUUCCAGGUAAAACAGUUUAGAGAGAAAGAAGUGCCCCCCCCUCCAGUUGCAAUUUAUACACUUCUCUUGAACAGUGCAGUCAGUACUAUCAUGGCCAACUUCUGCACAACGAUGUCAGAGUCCAGCGGCAAGAAGUUUUAGAAUGCCCAAAACGCUGGCACUUGAAACAGCGUAAUGAUUUGGAAUAUAAGGUGUAAUAACAAGGCGUAUAUAUCCAGCUUUUAUGUGUUUGGGCAGUUUAGAAACUGAAUGUCAAAAUUAGAUGUUCAAUAUUCAGGAGCUCGCCAUCCCUUCGGUACAAUGCCACUUGACAAACUCAUGUACUAUCUCGAGUUCACCUGAUAUUUAUCUGAUUUAGAAUACAUGUAGAGAGACAUAAUAAUUAUUAGUUUUUCUUUCUAUUCCGUUAUGUUCUGAAUAGCAAGGCCUGAAUUUCAGAAUAUUUAAAGUAUGAAAUUACAAAGGAUCAGUAUACAGGUAAUAGAGUUAACAAAGUCUUUCAUUUUAUCUGUGAAUUUUCAAAAAGGUUUGGAAAUUUAUUCCGUGUAUUCGACAGGAAAUUCUAAAUAUUACAUUCUGUUUAAUUUAGUUAUUAAUCCUUUUACAUAAUACU